CAGAACGGAGCCAGACCUCGGACGCCGGGAAGGCGUAGAGUCGUCGGCAGUUUGUGCCUGUACGGGGCCAGCAAGAGCCAGGGUAGUCUGUCGCCCGUCCCGGAGUGAGAGAGGGUAUCCGGGGACAUCACAUGCAGCAUUCGGCCCAGAGAAUCCUGUGGUCUGCACAGCGGGGUAAGUAAUCAACAGUAAGUAUGUGUCCUUGAAUAAGUAAUGGGGCUUACGGCUAGGAGAUGCUUCGGUUAAGACCGGGAAAGGAAUAAUUCGUGUGUCCACCUCUUUCUACAGGGUCAUCACAUGCAGCAUUCGGCCCAGAGGAUCCUGCGAUCUGCACAGCAGAGUAGGUAAUCAACAGCAAGUAUGCGUUCUUGAAUAAGUAUGGGGCUUACGGCUGGGAGAGGCUUCGGUUGUGACCGGGAAAGGAAUAAUUCUUGUGUCCACCUCUUUUCAUAGGGACAUCACAUGCGGCAUUCGGCCCAGAGGAUCCUGCGAUCUGCACAGCAGAGUAAGUAAUCAA
Molecule: long non-coding RNA, 517 nt
Organism: Carassius gibelio (silver crucian carp)
Lineage: Eukaryota; Metazoa; Chordata; Actinopteri; Cypriniformes; Cyprinidae
Exons: 3
Source: RefSeq, a predicted model, not a curated record